This is a long non-coding RNA of Brassica napus (rape), 1063 nucleotides long. RefSeq lists it as uncharacterized. The transcript is spliced from 2 exons. NCBI's taxonomy places the organism in Eukaryota, Viridiplantae, Streptophyta, Magnoliopsida, Brassicales, Brassicaceae. The record is from RefSeq and is a predicted model, not a curated record.
UAUAUGUUAUUUCGGACUUUAAUCUAUAUUGCCCUACUAUCUCCCUUGUUUAUUCUAUAUUGUCCCACUAAUAACAAACAUUAUCUUUUUUAUUAUAUUUAAAUCGAAAACAUUGGAAAAGACAUAAAACCCCUUAAUGAAUCUAAGAAAUUACAAACUCAAAUCGGAUCAUCCACCCAAACCCAUACCCAAUACGGAUCCCAUCAAGUUAAUAAUAAUAAGUAAAUAAGAAAAAGAAAUCAAAAUCCCUAAUCUUUCCAGCUUCUUCUUCACGAGCCUCCUUCUUCAUUCUUUUUCUGUCUUUUUCAAUUUCUCGCACAACACAUUCUCUGUUUCUGAUGAACCCUCAUUCUAAAAACAGGGACACAGAUUUUAAAUCAGAAUGACGCAUGUACGUUGCUGAGUCUGGCACUCGUUGAAAAUUAAAACUCAAUCGGAGCCUGCGACUCGAUUCCGUCGCUUACAAGUUACAAACGCUUAACGCUUAAUAAAAAUAAGAAGAGAGAGGUCACCACCGAAGCAGUGAAGCCAUUGGUGGAUCUCGCAGCGGAGAAGGCGAUGGUGGUUCUGAGCAGUCAUACAACAAUCGAGGAGAACGAAAGCUCAGCCGGAAGCUAUGACGCGAUUCCGCCGCUUACAACGCUCUAGAAGUUGUGCACGCUUCAGCAAAACAAGGAGAGUUGAUUCACCACCAGAGGGGUGAAUCCGUUGGUAGACUUUUGGGGCAAAGUAGGGGACUGUAGUGGUGAAAUGGUAGAGAAGGCGAUUUGGAGGCUAUGUGGACAUUGUUUCAAAAAAGUAAUUUCCUUUUCACACAAAGGACAUUUUUACCAUACUUGGAUCGAGUUUGUUUAAGAUAGUGUUUGUGAGAUAUGGUUUAAAUCUUUUUGCUAAGCUGUUGGAUUAUCUUUGCCACUGUUUUUUUUUGGUCAAAUCUUUGCCACUGGUUUAGAUAUCGUUUAUGUUCAUAAAUGUGGCGUCAUUCUUGUAAAAUGACAGUAACUGAAUCCGAGAUGCGAUCAUAUGGGUCACUUGCAACGAAGAUUUCAUAUUGGCUGGGUAA